ACCGCGCCGGGCCGGAUGACCCGCCCGCUGAUGGCUGGCGAGACGGUGCUCACCUCGUAGCUGCGUGGCCGAUCGUACCGGUCGGUGUGGUG
Molecule: transfer RNA, 92 nt
Filed under: Micromonospora phaseoli
Lineage: Bacteria; Bacillati; Actinomycetota; Actinomycetes; Micromonosporales; Micromonosporaceae
Description: tRNA-Ile
Source: RNAcentral